CAGAACGAACGCUGGUGGCGUGUCUUAUACAUGCAAGUCGAGCGAGGCAGCAAUGCCGAGCGGCGAACGGGUGAGUAACGCGUAAGCAAUCUGCCCCAUAUCAGGAAAUACCCGUGCCAACGCGCGGUUAAUGUCCAGGAGAGUGGCCCUCCGCAUGGAGGGUUGACUAGAGAUUCAUCGGUAUGGGAUGAGCUUGCGUCCGAUUAGCUAGUUGGCGGGGCAACGGCCCACCAAGGCGACGAUCGGUAGCCGGCCUGAGAGGGUGAUCGGCCACAUUGGGACUGAGAUACGGCCCAGACUCCUACGGGAGGCAGCAGUAGGGAAUAUUGCACAAUGGGGGAAACCCUGAUGCAGCAACGCCACGUGUGGGAAGAAGCAUUUCGGUGUGUAAACCACUGUCAUGAGGGAAUAAGGCCCGCCUUCGGACGGGAUUGAAUGUACCUUGAGAGGAAGCACCGGCAAACUUCGUGCCAGCCGCCGC
RNAcentral lists this ribosomal RNA (481 nucleotides) under uncultured bacterium. RNAcentral's name for it is "bacterial SSU rRNA". It matches the Rfam family "Bacterial small subunit ribosomal RNA", at positions 25 to 518 of the family's 1533-position model. The record is from RNAcentral.